RNAcentral lists this ribosomal RNA (378 nucleotides) under uncultured bacterium. RNAcentral describes it as "bacterial SSU rRNA". It matches the Rfam family "Bacterial small subunit ribosomal RNA", at positions 790 to 1167 of the family's 1533-position model. The record is from RNAcentral.
GUAGUCCACGCCCUAAACGAUGUCAACUGGUUGUUGGGGAAGGCAACUUCCUUAGUAACGAAGCUAACGCGUGAAGUUGACCGCCUGGGGAGUACGGCCGCAAGGUUAAAACUCAAAGGAAUUGACGGGGACCCGCACAAGCGGUGGAUGAUGUGGAUUAAUUCGAUGCAACGCGAAGAACCUUACCUACCCUUGACAUGUACGGAAGCUGGGUGAGAGCUCAGUGUGCCCGAAAGGGAGCCGUAACACAGGUGCUGCAUGGCUGUCGUCAGCUCGUGUCGUGAGAUGUUGGGUUAAGUCCCGCAACGAGCGCAACCCUUGUCACUAGUUGCCACUUUAACCGGGGCACUCUAGUGAGACUGCCGGUGACAAACCGGA